ACCCUGCCUACAGUCUACACUUACCUCUCAUCUCUGAUCUAUAUUAGCAAUAAGAAUUGAGUUUCUUAGCCCAGGCACGGUCACUCAUGCCUAUAAUCCCAGCAUUUUGGGAGGCCGAGGUGGGCUGAGGUCAGAAGUUCAACACCAGCCUGGCCAAGAUGGUGAAACCCCAUCUCUACUAAAAAUACAAAAAUUAGCCAGAUGUGGUGGUGCAAGCCUGUAAUCUCAGCUACUCGGGAGGUUGAGGCUGGAGAAUUGCUUGAACCUGGGAGGAGGAGGUUGCAGUGAGCCAAGAUUGUGCCACUAUACUCCAGUCUGGGUGACAGAGCAAGACUCCGUCUCAAAAAAAAAAAGACUAGAGUUUCUCAGAAUGAGUUCUGUGGACCACAGGCAUUGCUAUGGUUUGAAUGUGUCCCUUUUAAAAUUCAGGUAUUGCCAAUUUGGUAGUAUUACAUGGUGGGGCCUUUAAGAGGUGAGUAGGCUAUGAGGGUUCCUUUCUUGUGAAGGGGGUUGGUGCCCUUACAAGAGGAUGGGAUGGUGGGAGUUUAUCUCUUUUCUCCCUUUUGCCUUGCAUCAUGUGAAGACACAGCAUUUAUCCUGUCCAUAGGGCACAGACUUCAAGAUGUCAUCUUGGAAGCAGAGACUGGACCUUCACCAGACUCAAAACCUACCAGUACCUUGAUCCUAAACGUCUUUCCCGGCUCCAGAACUGUGAGAAAAAAGAAGAAAGAAAGGGAAGAAUAA
Molecule: long non-coding RNA, 744 nt
Filed under: Callithrix jacchus (white-tufted-ear marmoset)
Lineage: Eukaryota; Metazoa; Chordata; Mammalia; Primates; Cebidae
Description: lncRNA (ENSCJAG00000071900.1)
Source: RNAcentral